UACAGAGGGUGCAAGCGUUAUUCGGAUUUACUGGGCGUAAAGCGCAUGUAGGUUGUUUAGCAAGUCUGGUGUGAAAGCCCCCGUUUUAAGCGGGGAAGUGCAUCAGAUACUACUAGACUAGAGUACAGGAGGGGGGAGCGGAAUUCCAGGUGUAGAGGUGAAAUUCGUAGAUAUCUGGAGGAACAACGGAGGCGAAGGCGGCUCCCUGGACUGUAACUGACACUCAGAUGCGAAAGCGUGGGGAGCAAACAGG
Molecule: ribosomal RNA, 253 nt
Filed under: uncultured bacterium
Lineage: Bacteria
Description: partial 16S ribosomal RNA
Rfam family: Bacterial small subunit ribosomal RNA
Source: RNAcentral